GGCACGAUAGCUUAGGGGUUGAGCAGAGGGCCCAUAGGCCUAAGGUCGGGAUUUCAAAUCUCCCUCUUGCUACCA
Molecule: transfer RNA, 75 nt
Filed under: Verrucomicrobiales bacterium
Lineage: Bacteria; Pseudomonadati; Verrucomicrobiota; Verrucomicrobiia; Verrucomicrobiales
Description: tRNA-Met
Rfam family: tRNA
About the family: Transfer RNA (tRNA) molecules are approximately 80 nucleotides in length. Their secondary structure includes four short double-helical elements and three loops (D, anti-codon, and T loops).
Source: RNAcentral